This 507-nucleotide ribosomal RNA is filed under the name uncultured bacterium. RNAcentral's name for it is "partial 16S ribosomal RNA". It matches the Rfam family "Bacterial small subunit ribosomal RNA", at positions 30 to 523 of the family's 1533-position model. The record is from RNAcentral.
AUUGAACGCUGGCGGCAUGCCUAACACAUGCAAGUCGAACGGCAGCAUGACGUGUAGCAAUACACGUUGAUGGCGAGUGGCGGACGGGUGAGAAACGCGUGGGAAUCUGCCCUCAAGAUCGGGAUAACCCGAGGAAACUCGGGCUAAUACCGGAUAAGCUCGAAAGAGAAAAGGCUGGGUCGCAAGACCUGGAGCUUGAGGAGGAGCCUGCGUCCGAUUAGCUAGUUGGUUAGGUAAAAGCUGACCAAGGCGAUGAUCGGUAGCUGGUCUGAGAGGAUGAUCAGCCACACUGGGACUGAGACACGGCCCAGACUCCUACGGGAGGCAGCAGUGGGGAAUAUUGGACAAUGGGGGCAACCCUGAUCCAGCAAUGCCGCGUGUGUGAAGAAGGCCUUCGGGUUGUAAAGCACUUUAGGCUGGGAGGAAGUUAUGCAUUUUAAGAGAUAGCAUAAUUGACUGUACCAGAAGAAUAAGCACCGGCUAACUCUGUGCCAGCAGCCGCCGUAA